CCUACGGGUGGCUGCAGUGGGGAAUAUUGCACAAUGGGCGCAAGCCUGAUGCAGCCAUGCCGCGUGUGUGAAGAAGGCCUUCGGGUUGUAAAGCACUUUCAGCGGGGAGGAAGGCGGUGAGGUUAAUAACCUCAUCGAUUGACGUUACCCGCAGAAGAAGCACCGGCUAACUCCGUGCCAGCAGGCGCGGUAAUACGGAGGGUGCAAGCGUUAAUCGGAAUUACUGGGCGUAAAGCGCACGCAGGCGGUCUGUCAAGUCGGAUGUGAAAUCCCCGGGCUCAACCUGGGAACUGCAUUCGAAACUGGCAGGCUAGAGUCUUGUAGAGGGGGGUAGAAUUCCAGGUGUAGCGGUGAAAUGCGUAGAGAUCUGGAGGAAUACCGGUGGCGAAGGCGGCCCCCUGGACAAAGACUGACGCUCAGGUGCGAAAGCGUGGGGAGCAAACAGGAUUAGAUACCCUUGUAGUC
RNAcentral lists this ribosomal RNA (465 nucleotides) under uncultured Klebsiella sp. RNAcentral's name for it is "bacterial SSU rRNA". It matches the Rfam family "Bacterial small subunit ribosomal RNA", at positions 338 to 795 of the family's 1533-position model. Lineage: Bacteria; Pseudomonadati; Pseudomonadota; Gammaproteobacteria; Enterobacterales; Enterobacteriaceae. The record is from RNAcentral.